Molecule: non-coding RNA, 27 nt
Filed under: Cricetulus griseus (Chinese hamster)
Lineage: Eukaryota; Metazoa; Chordata; Mammalia; Rodentia; Cricetidae
Source: RNAcentral
AAAGAAUCUGAUGACGCCUUAGCUGUG